This is a long non-coding RNA of Osmerus eperlanus (European smelt), 1353 nucleotides long. RefSeq lists it as uncharacterized. Lineage: Eukaryota; Metazoa; Chordata; Actinopteri; Osmeriformes; Osmeridae. The transcript has 2 exons. The record is from RefSeq and is a predicted model, not a curated record.
AACAGUGUGAGAUAUCUUGCCUCACUUAAGUGGGAAACUGGAGCAGGCUAGGGUUUCAGAGAAGGCUAUUGUUAGGCUAUAUGUUUUUAUGUAAGGGGUUCAAAGGUCAUCGUGCCGGUACCCUCCACCUUGUGUUUCUCUUCUCUUUACCAUCGGUCCGACAUUAAGCUGAGGCUGCUGGAACUGAAGUGUCUCCUGGGGUUCUCUCUCAGGACCUUCACAGAAAGACUUUCUCGCCGAAGAUGAUCCUUUGAACGAGCUACUCAUCACAAAUCAGGAAGCUGUAGUUGACGGAUAAGGUUGAAGAUUGAGCCUUUUUGACGAGUGGUUUUGAUACAUUCACACAAAGCUUUUGAUGCUCUGUAUGUCAUUGGAAUAUUGCUUGGAUAAGUGUGUGUGUGCUGGAAAGAGGCCUGGGGUGUUUCUCACGUUGACUCUGUUUUGUCUCCAGCAUAUCUGCUGCUAAGACCCCAUUGUGGAAUGCAGCGCCUCUAGAUGGAACAGGGAAGGAGGUCUGCCAAUGAGUUAAAGGCGACUACCCGCUGUAAAAAAAAAACCCACACAAGGCCUGGACCUCAAGGUGACUGAGGACCCGAGGGAGGGCUCCAAACAUGACCCAGCGGAGGACAGAAGGAGAGACAGAUUAAGGGAUGACCAGCCUCUGCACAGGUGCUCAGAAAGAACAGAACGUGAGAUGGUUUAAUGUAAAAAGAAAAUCCUAAAUAAAUAUUAACCUGCCUCAUCAGGCAUAUAUUUAAAAUACUUUUUGUCACAGUUCUGUCCUGAAUGGAGGAUUCUUUUUUUUCUAUACAGUUAGUAAAUAUAUAUAGAUAUGUUUCUCAUAAAUCUAAUUAAAUUGAUAAAGGAUUGAAGGACUGCUAGAUAUGCUUUAGAUGACCAUAAACCAUUUAAAGAAUAAUGACACUUGAAAGCUGAUGCAAUUAUACUUUAUUCUACAGUUACUUGAAUUCUUUAGAGAAAGGUAAUGAGAAGAAGACACAGAAGGUCUCAGAAGGUCUCGGAUUGUGCUUCACUCUUCAUCGUGUCCCUUCUGCAAAGAGACAAAGACAGGGAAGGCAAGUCAUUGGUAAGAAAGGGUUAUAAGAAAAUGUAUAUUGAAAAUGUAUUAGAAGACAUCCUGGAUUUUCCUAGGUUAGGUUAGGUUCAAGAAGUCAGCAAUGUGAUACAGGCUAUUCUUUAUGUUUAUUGGAAUGUGUUGGCAUGUUCCUAUGGGCUUGUCCACAAGAGUCAGCAAUUGCACUUCAUCAACUAAUCAGUUCACUACUUAUAUAAGCAGAAUGCAGUAUGUUAUGAUAUUCUCUAAAGGACAAAUAAAUGGAUUUUUAGAAUGUU